UACGAAGGGGGCUAGCGUUGCUCGGAAUCACUGGGCGUAAAGCGCACGUAGGCGGAUCGUUAAGUCGGAGGUGAAAUCCUGGAGCUCAACUCCAGAACUGCCUUCGAUACUGGCGAUCUUGGAGUCCGGGAGAGGUGAGUGGAACUCCGAGUGUAGAGGUGAAAUUCGUAGAUAUUCGCAAGAACACCAGUGGCGAAGGCGGCUCACUGGCCCGAUACUGACGCUGAGGCACGAAAGCGUGGGGAGCAAACAGG
Molecule: ribosomal RNA, 254 nt
Filed under: uncultured bacterium
Lineage: Bacteria
Description: partial 16S ribosomal RNA
Rfam family: Bacterial small subunit ribosomal RNA
Source: RNAcentral